GAACCAUAUGUCCUAUCAGGAGGUUAGCCUAUUUUCAUCUUGUAUGUUUGUGUUUUCCUACUAUUUUGGGAGUCAACUAUUUAUCCUUUAAACAUCACGAGCACAAGACUUGGGUCCACCUAACUUUCAUUCAAUGGCAAUAUGUUUCUUUAUUGUAUUGGCAAGUGUCCUUCCCCUUAGGAUGCCAUGGCAACUUUAAGACACAAGAAGAAUAUUUGGAGUGGAACCUUAGUCACCACCACACCAUCUCAGCCUAUGUAAUAACCAUGUGUAAAGUUCAGUUUGGACAUAAGAUGAUUUGUUUGAACUUUUGAUAAAAUUAUGUUUUUCAGCUCAACUAGAAGAACUGUUCGUUUUCAGAAGUUAUUGAUUACUGUGCUUUUGAUAAAUAAUAACCUGUGUUUUGUUCAAAUACAAAACUUAAAUAGGAAAGGACAAAUCUGUUGUCU
This 449-nucleotide unclassified non-coding RNA is filed under the name Zea mays. RNAcentral describes it as "misc RNA Zm00001eb055790". Lineage: Eukaryota; Viridiplantae; Streptophyta; Magnoliopsida; Poales; Poaceae. The record is from RNAcentral.